Molecule: small RNA, 97 nt
Filed under: Salmonella enterica
Lineage: Bacteria; Pseudomonadati; Pseudomonadota; Gammaproteobacteria; Enterobacterales; Enterobacteriaceae
Description: partial RtT sRNA
Rfam family: RtT RNA
About the family: This family represents a bacterial cis-regulatory element known as RtT RNA. The exact function of RtT is unknown although it is thought that it may be involved in changing the cellular response in relation to amino acid starvation.
Source: RNAcentral
UGUAUCGGAAGCCUGACGAGGAUGAGAACCUCCGGGGGCAAGAGGUUCGACUCGAGCGCAGCGAGAGAACGUUGCGUCAGCAACGGCCCGCAGGGCG